CUGGCGGCAGGCCNAACACAUGCAAGUCGAGCGGAUGAGUGGAGCUUGCUCCAUGAUUCAAGCGGCGGACGGGUGAGUAAUGCCUAGGAAUCUGCCUGGUAGUGGGGGACAACGUUUCGAAAGGAACGCUAAUACCGCAUACGUCCUACGGGAGAAAGCAGGGGACCUUCGGGCCUUGCGCUAUCAGAUGAGCCUAGGUCGGAUUAGCUAGUAGGUGAGGUAAUGGCUCACCUAGGCGACGAUCCGUAACUGGUCUGAGAGGGUGAUCAGUCACACUGGAACUGAGACACGGUCCAGACUCCUACGGGAGGCAGCAGUGGGGAAUAUUGGACAAUGGGCGAAAGCCUGAUCCAGCCAUGCCGCGUGUGUGAAGAAGGUCUUCGGAUUGUAAAGCACUUUAAGUUGGGAGGAAGGGCAGUAAGUUAAUACCUUGCUGUUUUGACGUUACCAACAGAAUAAGCACCGGCUAACUUCGUGCCAGCAGCCGCGGU
This 491-nucleotide ribosomal RNA is filed under the name Stutzerimonas stutzeri. RNAcentral describes it as "bacterial SSU rRNA". It matches the Rfam family "Bacterial small subunit ribosomal RNA", at positions 36 to 521 of the family's 1533-position model. The record is from RNAcentral. Lineage: Bacteria; Pseudomonadati; Pseudomonadota; Gammaproteobacteria; Pseudomonadales; Pseudomonadaceae.